UACGACUACAUAUCAGGCAUAUCAAUAAGCGGAGGAAAAGAAACUAACUAGGAUUCCCUUAGUAACGGCGAGUGAAGCGGGAAGAGCUCAAAUUUGAAAUCUUCAAGGUUCUACCUUGACGAAUUGUAGUUUAAAGAAGUGUUUUCUGUUGGUAGUUUUGGUAAAAGUUCUUUGGAAUAGGACAUCAUAGAGGGUGAGAAUCCCGUAUUUGACCAUUUACUUCCAGCUGUGUGAUACACUUUCAAAGAGUCGGAUUGUUUGGGAAUGCAGUCCAAAAUGGGUGGUAAAUUUCAUCUAAAGCUAAAUAUUGGCGAGAGACCGAUAGCGAACAAGUACCGUGAGGGAAAGAUGAAAAGAACUUUGAUAAGAGAGUUAAACAGUACGUGAAAUUGUCAAAAGGGAAGCGUUUGACACCAGUGUUGUUUUCUCGAAAAUCAAUUAAAAAUGACCGGAUUUUGUGUUGUAUUGACUUUAUCAGCUUUCUGCACUUUUUUCUUGUCUUUUUUAAUGCACUUUUCGCUUAACAAGUCAACAUCAAUUUCUUUUGUUGUAAAAGGGUCAUUGGAAGGUGGCUUUCACUUCGGUGAAAGUGUUUAUAGCCUUUGACUUCUGCAAUCGGAGAGAUUGAGGUCUGCAGCGUAGAUCCUUCGGGGUUAGAUACAUUUGUGCUAAGUUAUAGUUUUUCAUAGACAACAUGUUGACUAUGAUUAAUCAUGUAGCUUACUCGCUUAUGCUAUUUUACCUACGCUUAGGAUGUUGAUCUCUCACAGUCGAGC
Molecule: ribosomal RNA, 776 nt
Filed under: uncultured Neocallimastigales
Lineage: Eukaryota; Fungi; Neocallimastigomycota; Neocallimastigomycetes; Neocallimastigales
Description: partial large subunit ribosomal RNA
Rfam family: Eukaryotic large subunit ribosomal RNA
Source: RNAcentral